AUUGAACGCUGGCGGCAGGCCUAACACAUGCAAGUCGAGCGAGCGGCGGACGGGUGAGGAAUGUAUGGGGACUGCCCGAUAGAGGGGGAUAACUACUGGAAACGGUAGAUAAUACAGCAUACUAUCGGAUAACCCAUAUGGGAUUAGCUAGUAGGUGAGGUAAUGGCUCACCUAGGCGACGAUCCCUAGCUGGUCUGAGAGGAUGAUCAGCCACCCGGUGACUGAGACACGGCCCAGACUCCUCCGGCGGCAGCAGUGGGGAAUAUUGCACAAUGGGCGCAAGCCUGAUACAGCCAUGCCGCGUGUAUGAAGAAGGCCUUCGGGUUGUAAAGUACUUUCAGCGGGGAGGCGUUACCCACAGAAGAAGCACCGGCUAACUCCGUGCCAGCAGCCGCGGUAAUAC
RNAcentral lists this ribosomal RNA (403 nucleotides) under uncultured bacterium. Its description in RNAcentral is "partial 16S ribosomal RNA". It matches the Rfam family "Bacterial small subunit ribosomal RNA", at positions 30 to 526 of the family's 1533-position model. The record is from RNAcentral.